UACGGGGGGAGCAAGCGUUGUUCGGAUUUACUGGGCGUAAAGGGCGCGUAGGCGGCGUAACAAGUCACUUGUGAAAUCUCCGGGCUUAACCCGGAGCGGCCAAGUGAUACUGUUGUGCUAGAGUGCAGAAGGGGCAACUGGAAUUCUCGGUGUAGCGGUGAAAUGCGUAGAUAUCAGGAGGAACACCUGCGGUGUAGACGGCUUACUGGACCAUAACUGACGCUGAGGCACGAAAGCGUGGGUAGCAAACAGG
RNAcentral lists this ribosomal RNA (253 nucleotides) under uncultured bacterium. Its description in RNAcentral is "partial 16S ribosomal RNA". It matches the Rfam family "Bacterial small subunit ribosomal RNA", at positions 524 to 776 of the family's 1533-position model. The record is from RNAcentral.